RNAcentral lists this transfer RNA (74 nucleotides) under Halobacillus sp. BAB-2008. Its description in RNAcentral is "tRNA-Gly". Lineage: Bacteria; Bacillati; Bacillota; Bacilli; Caryophanales; Bacillaceae. The record is from RNAcentral.
UCGAUCGUCCCGGUCAGGAAAUAUUGGAGCGGACGGCUGUUCAGUUGGAGAACGAUUCUGUGGUCGUUUGUCUU